GCAGUUGUGGUUCAGUGGUAGAACUCUCAUCUUCCAUUUGGGAGACCCAUGUUCAAUUCCUGGCCACUGCA
Molecule: transfer RNA, 71 nt
Filed under: Loxodonta africana (African savanna elephant)
Lineage: Eukaryota; Metazoa; Chordata; Mammalia; Proboscidea; Elephantidae
Rfam family: tRNA
About the family: Transfer RNA (tRNA) molecules are approximately 80 nucleotides in length. Their secondary structure includes four short double-helical elements and three loops (D, anti-codon, and T loops). Further hydrogen bonds mediate the characteristic L-shaped molecular structure. tRNAs have two regions of fundamental functional importance: the anti-codon, which is responsible for specific mRNA codon recognition, and the 3' end, to which the tRNAs corresponding amino acid is attached (by aminoacyl-tRNA synthetases). tRNAs cope with the degeneracy of the genetic code in two manners: having more than one tRNA (with a specific anti-codon) for a particular amino acid; and 'wobble' base-pairing, i.e. permitting non-standard base-pairing at the 3rd anti-codon position.
Source: Rfam by way of RNAcentral